This 24-nucleotide microRNA is filed under the name Zea mays. RNAcentral describes it as "microRNA miR-3127b". Lineage: Eukaryota; Viridiplantae; Streptophyta; Magnoliopsida; Poales; Poaceae. The record is from RNAcentral.
UAUAGUAGAAGCAGGAACUGUCAU